GAUGAACGCUGGCGGCGUGCUUAACACAUGCAAGUCGAACGGAAAGGCUCCUGCUUGCAGGGGUACUCGAGUGGCGAACGGGUGAGUAACACGUGGGUGAUCUGCCCUGCACUUCGGUAUAAGCCUGGGAAACUGGGUCUAAUACCGGAUAGGACUAUGGUUUGGAUGCCAUUGUGGAAAGUUUUUCGGUGUGGGAUGAGCUCGCGGCCUAUCAGCUUGUUGGUGGGGUAAUGGCCUACCAAGGCGUCGACGGGUAGCCGGCCUGAGAGGGUGUACGGCCACAUUGGGACUGAGAUACGGCCCAGACUCCUACGGGAGGCAGCAGUGGGGAAUAUUGCACAAUGGGCGCAAGCCUGAUGCAGCGACGCCGCGUGGGGGAUGACGGCCUUCGGGUUGUAAACUCCUUUCGCUAGGGACGAAGCGCAAGUGACGGUACCUGGAGAAGAAGCACCGGCUAACUACGUG
This 465-nucleotide ribosomal RNA is filed under the name uncultured bacterium. RNAcentral's name for it is "partial 16S ribosomal RNA". It matches the Rfam family "Bacterial small subunit ribosomal RNA", at positions 28 to 507 of the family's 1533-position model. The record is from RNAcentral.